GGGAUGUGAUGAGUGGUCAAUACUCACAAAUUAUGUGAGAGGGGUGUCUGCCCCAAAGCCUGUUACGACAAUGGGCACUCUCAUUUGAACCAUCUGAUCCC
Small nucleolar RNA from Humulus lupulus (European hop), 101 nucleotides. RefSeq annotates it as small nucleolar RNA Z279/snoR105/snoR108. The transcript has a single exon. The record is from RefSeq and is a predicted model, not a curated record. NCBI's taxonomy places the organism in Eukaryota, Viridiplantae, Streptophyta, Magnoliopsida, Rosales, Cannabaceae.